RNAcentral lists this long non-coding RNA (235 nucleotides) under Daucus carota (carrot). Its description in RNAcentral is "long non-coding RNA (DCAR_LNC004876)". Lineage: Eukaryota; Viridiplantae; Streptophyta; Magnoliopsida; Apiales; Apiaceae. The record is from RNAcentral.
AAGUACAUUGAAGCUAUAAAAGGACAAAUAGGGAAGAGAGAGAAAGAAAGUGGAGAGAUUAUUAUAGUAUAAAAUGUAAGUUAAGAGUUAGUUGUGGCUCUUAAAAAUAAAGAAGGAAGUGGGGCUCUUAAUGAUUUGAGGAGCAACUAAGAGUCUAUUGGAGUUGCAUUUUCACUCCUCUUCUUUAAAUUUUGAGUUAAGAGCUCAAAUAAGGAGGCUAUUGGAGAUGCUCUUA